Long non-coding RNA from Chroicocephalus ridibundus (black-headed gull), 2051 nucleotides. RefSeq lists it as uncharacterized. The transcript is spliced from 6 exons. The record is from RefSeq and is a predicted model, not a curated record. Lineage: Eukaryota; Metazoa; Chordata; Aves; Charadriiformes; Laridae.
GAAUUCAGAGCUUGAGCCUUGGGGCCAUUGAUCGUGUCAGGUAUCUGGAGUAUGCUGUAAUGGCAGCAAUCCAAGAGGGGAGAUAUCCUGGGUUUGUUGAAAUCUGGAGUAGGUCCAUCUAGAAAGGCAUCCUUGUGAUUCAAGAUCUCUCCUUAUUAGUUGAAAUUAUAAAACAAACACGCUGCCAAGCUAUUUUUACUGAUAACAACACACCUGGGAAUUUCUGAAGCUCUGCGAAUAUAACUGAACAAAGAGAUAAUCACUGAGCAGAAGAACGCAGGUGCUUCUUCUGUUAAGCCCUCCGGCUUUCUAUAUAAUGGGACGUUGCGGAGAAAAGCAGGUAUUUUGUGUGGUAGGACCUCACUUGGAUUGUUAAAGGGUGAUGCUGCGUUCCCAGCAGAAGGCCCUGUGCCUCGCAGAAGGGCAGCCGUGGGGUGGACUGAACAAGAGUUGCGUGGGGUGGACUGAACAAGCUGCGGUGCCGCCUGCCACAGCAGAGCACAGCAGAACCUUCAUAAGCUCAGCCUGCUGCAACGUGAGGGUCUUCUGAUACCACAGGAGGAGCCAGUGGAGCCCCGGUACUGCUGAUUCGUGUGAGAGGAUCUCUCAUUCUUUGGUUUUUGCAUUAGUCACCCAUCUAAAAUCAGGUUCCAACUGUGAUAACUAUCCCCAACCUGAGAAAGGUAGGAACUACAAAGAAAGACGGGGACUCAGCCAGUGGACUUAUUUGGUGACAGUUUCUUUCUCAGACAUUGCAGAGCUGCGUUUCAUAUGUGCUUUGAGGAACAGAGCUUUGUAUUCUGCCUCCAGGGGUCUAAUUUUGCCAGAGCCACGGGGCAACAUGGAGCCUUCAACAGAGUCCAGCCUCUACCCAAGGAGAAACCAAAACUAACCUCAUCAACACAGGAAACACCUGAAUCAUACAGUGUAUUUCCCUGAAAACAGAUGUCCUUUUAUCAGCACUUUGCCUAGAGGCAACAGAGGUUCUGUUGUGUCCUUCUGCGUGUUUGUCUGGGUGGUUAUCAGUCUACCAGCCUUGGAAACUAUCUUCUGUCUUUCACAAUGACUAUCACUUAAAGCUUGUUGAAGGUGAGCGGCUGUCACAUAAGGACAGUUAUGGAAAGGCUGCUCACAAGAAUAUGAGAAUCUGCUGAGGGGUAGGGUACUAGGCUGGAUCACCAAUAGUUAGAUUACAAAAAAUUGUAAAAAUGAAUCCUGGAUGCCUAAGAGGAACACCAUUUGUUUUGAUAAUGUGGGUCUAAACAGCACACAGAUGUUGCCGCCUUUUCUAAAAACAGAAUUCACCAGGGCAAUGGUUUCCUGAAAAAAAAAAGUUAACUGAUCUUACAGGUGCUUCCCUUAAUAGUUGAUGCAUUUCUGAAACAGGUAAUGUGCAGCAUGAGACCUUGCUUAGAGCAAGAUCUCUGUAACUAAAUUUCACCAGUUUGCUGAACAAAUGAAGAAGACUCCUUCUUCCCCUGCGUGCUCUGUCUCCAGUGCCAAAAAGAAGAGGUGUGGCUCUGAGCAGCCUCACCACAGCAAAGGCUCUCUACGUUCUGCCUCCAAGACAGCUUUGUCCAGACUGCACUGCUAAUUCACAGUGGGAGCAGAUCAGGUGCAGUCAGUCUGCAAAGGUUUGAGCCACAAGCGUAAUCUGAGAUUGCUGCUGUUAUCCCCAGGACUUGCACAGCCUUAAAGAAUUCAGACAGUUUCUUACCCUUCCUCAGCCUUUACGUGGUUUCACUGAGCUGCGCCGCAUGUCACAGUACCAGAGUGACUCUGAUGCACUGAAUGGACGAGACACUGGAAAACUAUUUUCUGAAUCCGCAGGGAUGGGGAAAGCACGUCAUGCAGAGUGUUUAAGCUUUAGAAGUGCUAGAAAAUAGGGACUAUUUCUGUUAUGAGGAACCGUCAACAAAUACAUUUCACAUGGUUUUCAUAUUUCUAUGCUGCAUUUCCUACACCAUGCAGUAGAUGGCAGGAGCCAAUCAAAGAAUUUCACUGCAUUUUUCGUAGAAGAAAAUAAGUUGAUCAGACUUAUCUUUGUUAGA